This 190-nucleotide unclassified non-coding RNA is filed under the name uncultured Glomeraceae. Its description in RNAcentral is "sequence contains ITS2". The record is from RNAcentral. Lineage: Eukaryota; Fungi; Glomeromycota; Glomeromycetes; Glomerales; Glomeraceae.
UAAAUAAAAAUCGAUGUGUUGCUUUUGUGACGCUUCGGAAUUGGGUCACCUUGAUCUCUGGGUUAAGAGGCCUAAAAUUGAUACCUUUCCGAGCAUCUUGGACGUAUGUAAAAUCUUUCAAGUGCCGGAUCUUUUACUAGGUAUGACCAUGCAGUGCGUGGAUCUUGUGCCUAUAAACGUGUAUUUCAUA